GAUGAACGCUAGCUACAUGCCUAACACAUGCAAGUCGAGGGGCAGCAUGGUCUUAGCUUGCUACGGCCGAUGGCGACCGGCGCACGGGUGAGUAACACGUAUCCAACCUGCCGUCUACUCUUGGCCAGCCUUCUGAAAGGCAGAUUAAUACAAGAUGGCAUCAUGAGUCCGCAUGUCCACAUGAUUAAAGGUUUUCCUGUAGACGAUGGGGAUGCGUUCCAUUAGAUCGUAGGCGGGGUAACGGCCCACCUAGACUUCGAUGGAUAGGGGUGAUGUGAGAAAGGUCCCCCGCAUUGGAGCUGAGACACAGACCACACUCCUACGGGAGGGAGCAGUGUGGAAUAUUAGGCAAUGGGGGCAGACCUGAACCAGCCAAGUAGCGUGAAGGAUGACUGCGCUAUGGGUUGUAAGCUUCUUUUAUAGAGGAAUAGAGUCGGGUAUGUAGACCCGUUUGAAUGUACUUUAUGAAUAAGCAACGGCUAACUACGUG
RNAcentral lists this ribosomal RNA (490 nucleotides) under uncultured bacterium. RNAcentral's name for it is "partial 16S ribosomal RNA". It matches the Rfam family "Bacterial small subunit ribosomal RNA", at positions 28 to 507 of the family's 1533-position model. The record is from RNAcentral.